This 497-nucleotide ribosomal RNA is filed under the name uncultured bacterium. RNAcentral describes it as "partial 16S ribosomal RNA". It matches the Rfam family "Bacterial small subunit ribosomal RNA", at positions 28 to 507 of the family's 1533-position model. The record is from RNAcentral.
GAUGAACGCUGGCGGCGUGCCUAAUACAUGCAAGUCGAGCGAACAGACGAGGAGCUUGCUCCUCUGGCGUUAGCGGCGGACGGGUGAGUAACACGUGGAUAACCUACCUAUAAGACUGGGAUAACUUCGGGAAACCGGAGCUAAUACCGGAUAAUAUAUUGAACCGCAUGGUUCAAUAGUGAAAGACGGUUUUGCUGUCACUUAUAGAUGGAUCCGCGCCGCAUUAGCUAGUUGGUAAGGUAACGGCUUACCAAGGCAACGAUGCGUAGCCGACCUGAGAAGGUGAUCGGCCACACUGGAACUGAGACACGGUCCAGACUCCUACGGGAGGCAGCAGUAGGGAAUCUUCCGCAAUGGGCGAAAGCCUGACGGAGCAACGCCGCGUGAGUGAUGAAGGUCUUCGGAUCGUAAAACUCUGUUAUUAGGGAAGAACAAAUGUGUAAGUAACUAUGCACGUCUUGACGGUACCUAAUCAGAAAGCCACGGCUAACUACGUG